GACGAACGCUGGCGGCGUGCUUAACACAUGCAAGUCGAACGGAAAGGCCCUGCUUUUGUGGGGUGCUCGAGUGGCGAACGGGUGAGUAACACGUGAGUAACCUGCCCUUGACUUUGGGAUAACUUCAGGAAACUGGGGCUAAUACCGGAUAGGAGCUCCUGCUGCAUGGUGGGGGUUGGAAAGUUUCGGCGGUUGGGGAUGGACUCGCGGCUUAUCAGCUUGUUUGUGGGGUAGUGGCUUACCAAGGCUUUGACGGGUAGCCGGCCUGAGAGGGUGACCGGCCACAUUGGGACUGAGAUACGGCCCAGACUCCUACGGGAGGCAGCAGUGGGGAAUAUUGCACAAUGGGCGGAAGCCUGAUGCAGCAACGCCGCGUGCGGGAUGACGGCCUUCGGGUUGUAAACCGAUUUCGCCUGUGACGAAGCGUGAGUGACGGUAAUGGGUAAAGAAGCACCGGCUAACUACGUG
Molecule: ribosomal RNA, 468 nt
Filed under: uncultured bacterium
Lineage: Bacteria
Description: partial 16S ribosomal RNA
Rfam family: Bacterial small subunit ribosomal RNA
Source: RNAcentral